CCAGACUCCUACGGGAGGCAGCAGUGGGGAAUAUUGCACAAUGGGGGGAACCCUGAUGCAGCGACGCCGCGUGGGUGAAGGAGCACCUCGGUGCGUAAAGCCCUAUCGGCAGGGAAGAAAAGCGAACAGGUUCGCCUGGACGGUACCUGACUAGGAAGCCCCGGCUAACUACGUGCCAGCAGCCGCGGUAAUACGUAGGGGGCAAGCGUUAUCCGGAUUCACUGGGUGUAAAGGGAGCGUAGACGGCAUGGCAAGUCAGAUGUGAAAGCCCGGGGCUCAACCCCGGGACUGCAUUUGAAACUGUCAGGCUGGAGUGCAGGAGAGGUAAGUGGAAUUCCUAGUGUAGCGGUGAAAUGCGUAGAUAUUAGGAGGAACACCAGUGGCGAAGGCGGCUUACUGGACUGUAACUGACGUUGAGGCUCGAAAGUGUGGGGAGCAAACAGGAUUAGAUACCCCAGUACCA
Molecule: ribosomal RNA, 463 nt
Filed under: uncultured bacterium
Lineage: Bacteria
Description: bacterial SSU rRNA
Rfam family: Bacterial small subunit ribosomal RNA
Source: RNAcentral